Molecule: transfer RNA, 71 nt
Filed under: Patescibacteria group bacterium
Lineage: Bacteria
Description: tRNA-Pro
Rfam family: tRNA
About the family: Transfer RNA (tRNA) molecules are approximately 80 nucleotides in length. Their secondary structure includes four short double-helical elements and three loops (D, anti-codon, and T loops).
Source: RNAcentral
CGGGGCAUAGUGUAACGGUAGCACGAGUCCAUGGGGUGGAUUUAUUUGGGGUUCGAAUCCCCAUGCCCCGA